RNAcentral lists this ribosomal RNA (1213 nucleotides) under Triticum aestivum (bread wheat). Its description in RNAcentral is "partial small subunit ribosomal RNA". The record is from RNAcentral. Lineage: Eukaryota; Viridiplantae; Streptophyta; Magnoliopsida; Poales; Poaceae.
CUUGAUCGAUCGAUGUGGCAGCUGGUCAGCUCGAUGAUGGGUUCGCGGUACCCUCCACCUUUGUUCGUCACGCCGUUGCUGUGGUUGUCGUCUCCGGAACCCCCGAUGAUGGGUUCGCGGAUGAGCAGAGGCGGGUAGCGCAUGGGACGUAUGGGGGGAGGUGUUCGGCCCGUACCUACGGGAGGACGGAUAAUGGGAGGUGUCGGUGUCCCUAUACCCGUACCGAUAGGUAGUCGUCCUCGUAUGCCCACAGGUGGGAGGUCGAUAGGGGUGGUAGUUCCACCGAUAGUGCCAGUGCCUCCUAGAAACGAACAACGGCCGCCACGCCGCCGCCGCCGCCGGAUACCGCGCGUAGUGAACUCGGUACCGGUAGUGCCGGUGCCGCCUAUCAUGGUGGCAGGACGCCCAAUGGUAGUAGUGAUGCCGCCGUUCAAGUUCUUCGUACCUGCGAUGCCGAUACCCAUACCGCCGUUCAAGUUCGUACCGUUCGCGUACGCAGAGAAACCUCCCUUCGUACCGGAGAAACCACCUUUUGUGUUCACCUUCAUCAAAGGAAUACCAAGAAGCUUCACCUAUACAGCUCUCCUCACUUGGCUAUAUUAGAACCCUUAUUUAGGCAGAUACAUUAUUAGUUGAGGUACUAGCUAGGUAUUUAUAUUCAAGACGCGCGCAUGCAUACAUACACUUAUAGCCAACGCUAAACGCUGCAGCCACUAAUUUAGACAACGUAAACGAACCAGGCGUGCAUGCUUACUGCUUUCUUUGCGCGCGUCAGGUGUGGAACAUGCUAGCUAGACAUUGAUGCAUGGUCAAAUUUGUACGUUGGCGCGUAGUGGAUAUAUAUGCAUGCAUGAGGGUAGGGUACGUAGAGGAGAGAACGAAAGCCUGUUUAAGCUAGAAGUAUUAAUUCAAACAGAAGAAAGACGUGCUGCUCAGCUUCUCUAGCUACUACUGGUUCGAGUCGUCGUCGCCGUCGUUGUUGCAACUACUGCCGAUGCUCAUGCUUCUUCUUAUGUAGUUCUUGCGCGCACCCUACUUCGAGAAGUGGACGGCCACCGAGGGGCGGUUGCGGUCUGGUUAGUUCCGGGAGCAGAAGUACACGGUGCCAAUGCGCCACCUCACGUCGCACUGCUACGCGCCGUGGCCCCACGCCGACCGCGUCCGGCCGAUGCGGCAGAUGCCGUACCUGAUGCUCCCGGUGCCGUUCAGCCUG